Molecule: long non-coding RNA, 299 nt
Filed under: Mytilus galloprovincialis (Mediterranean mussel)
Lineage: Eukaryota; Metazoa; Mollusca; Bivalvia; Mytilida; Mytilidae
Source: RNAcentral
UUCGUUAAAGUGCGAUGGUCCGCGAAAGUAUAGACGUACGAAACGUAGUGUGAUUAUGACGUUAACAUUCGUUUAUACAAACCAAAAAUGAACAUGCCGGAAGAUGAAAUAAAUAAUGGAAGCGAACAAAUGCAUAUUAAUGUUUACCCUUAUGUUAAAAUAUUGUUGAUUUUAUUUAAGAGUAUAAACGUCGUUAAAAAAUAGGUACACGUUUUAAAUUGUCCAUUUAAACACCAGUGUAUACAUUGUAUUAAAAAAUAACAUGUAUUAAUACUCAUUACGAAAAUGAGGAAAGCUCA